UACGUAGGGUGCGAGCGUUACUCGGAAUUACUGGGCGUAAAGCGUGCGCAGGCGGUUUUGUAAGGCAGAUGUGAAAGCCCCGGGCUUAACCUGGGAACUGCAUUUGUGACUGGCAGGCUAGAGUAUGGCAGAGGGGGGUAGAAUUCCACGUGUAGCAGUGAAAUGCGUAGAGAUGGGGAGGAAUACCGAUGGCGAAGGCAGCCCCCUGGGCCAAUACUGACGCUCAUGCACGAAAGCGUGGGGAGCAAACAGG
This 253-nucleotide ribosomal RNA is filed under the name uncultured bacterium. Its description in RNAcentral is "partial 16S ribosomal RNA". It matches the Rfam family "Bacterial small subunit ribosomal RNA", at positions 524 to 776 of the family's 1533-position model. The record is from RNAcentral.